This 433-nucleotide ribosomal RNA is filed under the name uncultured bacterium. RNAcentral's name for it is "partial 16S ribosomal RNA". It matches the Rfam family "Bacterial small subunit ribosomal RNA", at positions 29 to 507 of the family's 1533-position model. The record is from RNAcentral.
AACGAACGCUGGCGGCAUGCCUAACACAUGCAAGUCGAACGACACCUGCGGGUCUAGUGGUGCACGGGCGCGUAACGCCUGGGAACCGGCCCUUACGUUCGGAAUAACCUCCAGAAAGGGGUGCUAAAACCGGAAAAUGUCCUCAGACCAAAUAUUUACUGCCGUUGGAUGGGCCCGCGCUGGAUUUGGUCGUAGGGAGGGUAAAAGCGUACCAAGGCGACGAUCCAUAGCUGGUCAGAGAGGAUCACCAGCGACACUUGGGCUGAGAAACGGCCGAGACUCUUGCGCGAGGGAGGAAUAGGGAAUAUAGCACUGUCGGGGAAAUGAAGAUGCAGCUAGGCCGGGAAAGUGAUGAAGGCCUGGAAGUAGUGAAGCUCUUUAAGCCGGGAUGAUAAUGACAGUACCUGAAGAAUAAGCACCGGCUAACUCCGUG